GAUGAACGCUGGCGGCGUGCCUAAUACAUGCAAGUCGAGCGAACAGACGAGGAGCUUGCUCCUCUGACGUUAGCGGCGGACGGGUGAGUAACACGUGGAUAACCUACCUAUAAGACUGGGAUAACUUCGGGAAACCGGAGCUAAUACCGGAUAAUAUAUUGAACCGCAUGGUUCCAUAGUGAAAGACGGUUUUGCUGUCACUUAUAGAUGGAUCCGCGCCGCAUUAGCUAGUUGGUAAGGUAACGGCUUACCAAGGCAACGAUGCGUAGCCGACCUGAGGGCGUGGUUGGCCACACUGGAUGUGAGACUCGGUCCACACACCGACACGGGGACGCGGUAGGGACUCUUCCGGGAUGGGCGAGAGCGUGACGGAGCAAAGCCGCGGAAGUGCUGAAGGUCUUCGGACCGGUAAACUAUGUUAUUAGGGAGAAACAAAUGUGUAAGUACCUAUGCACAUAUUGACGGUACCUGGUCAGAAAGCCCCGGCUAACUACGUG
This 497-nucleotide ribosomal RNA is filed under the name uncultured bacterium. RNAcentral's name for it is "partial 16S ribosomal RNA". It matches the Rfam family "Bacterial small subunit ribosomal RNA", at positions 28 to 507 of the family's 1533-position model. The record is from RNAcentral.